Molecule: ribosomal RNA, 512 nt
Filed under: uncultured bacterium
Lineage: Bacteria
Description: partial 16S ribosomal RNA
Rfam family: Bacterial small subunit ribosomal RNA
Source: RNAcentral
GACGAACGCUGGCGGCGUGCCUAAUACAUGCAAGUCGAGCGAAUCUUGAGGUGCUUGCACCUCUUGGUUAGCGGCGGACGGGUGAGUAACACGUGGGCAACCUGCCUGUAAGACUGGGAUAACUUCGGGAAACCGGAGCUAAUACCGGAUAAUCCUUUUUCUCUCAUGAGGAAAAGCUGAAAGUCGGUUUACGCUGACACUUACAGAUGGGCCCGCGGCGCAUUAGCUAGUUGGUGAGGUAACGGCUCACCAAGGCGACGAUGCGUAGCCGACGUGGGAGGGUGGUCGGCCACACGGGGACGGGGAAACGGCCCAGACUCCUACGGGAGGGAGCAGUAGGGAAUCUUCCUCAAUGGACGAAAGUCUGACGGAGCAACGCCGCGUGAGCGAUGAAGGCCUUCGGGUCGUAAAGCUCUGUUGUUAGGGAAGAACAAGUAUCGGAGUAACUGCCGGUACCUUGACGGUACCUAACCAGAAAGCCACGGCUAACUACGUGCCAGCCGCCGCGGUAA